GACGUAGGGUGCGAGCGUUGUCCGGAUUUAUUGGGCGUAAAGAGCUCGUAGGCGGCUCGUCGCGUCGACCGUGAAAACCCGCAGCUUAACUGCGGGCUUGCGGUUGAUACGGGCGGGCUAGAGUUCGGUAGGGGAGACUGGAAUUCCUGGUGUAGCGGUGAAAUGCGCAGAUAUCAGGAAGAACACCCGUGGCGAAGGCGGUUCUCUGGGACGGUACUGACGCUGAGACGCGAAAGCGUGGGGAGCGAACAGG
Molecule: ribosomal RNA, 253 nt
Filed under: uncultured bacterium
Lineage: Bacteria
Description: partial 16S ribosomal RNA
Rfam family: Bacterial small subunit ribosomal RNA
Source: RNAcentral